This 460-nucleotide ribosomal RNA is filed under the name uncultured bacterium. RNAcentral's name for it is "partial 16S ribosomal RNA". It matches the Rfam family "Bacterial small subunit ribosomal RNA", at positions 338 to 795 of the family's 1533-position model. The record is from RNAcentral.
CCUACGGGGGGCAGCAGUGAGGAAUAUUGGUCAAUGGCCGGAAGGCUGAACCAGCCAUGCCGCGUGAAGGUCAGUGCCCUAUGGGCGUUAAACUUCUUUUGUGCGGGAGCAAUAAUGGUCACGUGUGGCCAGACGAGUGUACCGUACGAAUAAGCAUCGGCUAACUCCGUGCCAGCAGCCGCGGUAAUACGGGGGAUGCAAGCGUUAUCCGGAUUUAUUGGGUUUAACGGGUGCGUAGGCUGUGAGGUAAGUCAGCGGUGAAAUGCCCCCGCUCAACGGGGUGAAGUGCCAUUGAUACUGCCUGGCUGGAAUGCGGAUGCCGUGGGAGGAAUGUGUGGUGUAGCGGUGAAAUGCAUAGAUAUCACACAGAACACCGAUUGCGAAGGCAUCUCACGAAUCCGCGAUUGACGCUGAUGCACGAAAGCGUGGGUAUCAAACAGGAUUAGAUACCCUGGUAGUC